UACGAAGGGGGCUAGCGUUGCUCGGAAUGACUGGGCGUAAAGGGCGCGUAGGCGGAUGGCAUAGUCAGAUGUGAAAUUCCCGGGCUUAACCUGGGGACUGCAUUUGAUACGUGUCGUCUUGAGUUCGGAAGAGGGUCGUGGAAUUCCCAGUGUAGAGGUGAAAUUCGUAGAUAUUGGGCGGAACACCAGUGGCGAAGGCGACUCACUGGCCCGAUACUGACGCUGAGGCGCGAAAGCGUGGGGAGCAAACAGG
RNAcentral lists this ribosomal RNA (253 nucleotides) under uncultured bacterium. Its description in RNAcentral is "partial 16S ribosomal RNA". It matches the Rfam family "Bacterial small subunit ribosomal RNA", at positions 524 to 776 of the family's 1533-position model. The record is from RNAcentral.